UACGUAGGGGGCAAGCGUUGUCCGGAUUUAUUGGGCGUAAAGAGCGUGUAGGCGGCCAGGUAGGUCAGCUGUGAAAACUCGAGGCUUAACCUCGAGACGCCGGCUGAAACCCUCUGGCUAGAGUCCGGAAGAGGAGAGCGGAAUUCCUGGUGUAGCGGUGAAAUGCGCAGAUAUCAGGAGGAACACCUAUGGCGAAGGCAGCUCGCUGGGACGGUAUUGACGCUGAGACGCGAAAGCGUGGGGAGCGAACAGG
RNAcentral lists this ribosomal RNA (253 nucleotides) under uncultured bacterium. Its description in RNAcentral is "partial 16S ribosomal RNA". It matches the Rfam family "Bacterial small subunit ribosomal RNA", at positions 524 to 776 of the family's 1533-position model. The record is from RNAcentral.